RNA transcript from Callithrix jacchus (white-tufted-ear marmoset), 794 nucleotides. It is a transcript of the gene named ras GTPase-activating protein-binding protein 1 pseudogene, with no coding region annotated. NCBI's taxonomy places the organism in Eukaryota, Metazoa, Chordata, Mammalia, Primates, Cebidae. The record is from RefSeq and is a predicted model, not a curated record.
GCAGUUGUGUGAGGGUUUUCUGCCAUCCUCAGUGCUGUGGAGCAGAGCUAGUUCCUCUCCAGCUUAGCCACGCAGGUUGAAUUGACCAAACCAAUGGUGAUGGAGAAGCCUAGUCCCCUGCUGGUCAGGCGGGAAUUUGUGAGACAGUAUUACACACUGCUGAACCAGGCCCCAGACAUGCUGCAUAGAUUUUAUGGAAAGAACUCUUCUUAUGUCCAUGGGGGAUUGGAUUCAAAUGGAAAGCCAGCAGAUGCUAUCUAUGGACAGAAAGAAAUCCACAGGAAAGUGAUGUCUGAAAACUUCACCAACUGCCACACCAAAAUUCGCCAUGUUGAUGCUCAUGCCAUGCUAAAUGAUGGUGUGGUAGUCCAAGUGAUGGGGCUUCUUUCUAACAACAACCAGGCUUUGAGGAGAUUUAUGCAGAUGUUUAUCCUUGCUCCUGAGGGGUCUGUUGCAAAUAAAUUCUAUGUUCACAAUGAUAUCUUCCAAUACAAGAUGAGGUUUUUCGUGGGUUUGUCACUGAGCCUCAGGAGGAGUCUGAAGAAGAAGUAGAAGAACCUGAAGAAAGACUGCAGACACCUGAGGUGGUACCUGAUGAUUCUGGAACUUUCUAUGAUCAGGCAGUUGUCAGUAAUGACAUGGAAGAACAUUUAGAGGAGCCUGUUGCUGAACCAGAGCCUGACCCUGAACCGGAACCAGAAAAAUAACCUGUAUCUGAAAUCCAAGAGGAAAAGCCUGAGCCUGUAUUAGAAGAAACUGCUCUUGAGGAUGGAACCAAAAGAGAGCCCACAUAG